Molecule: ribosomal RNA, 492 nt
Filed under: uncultured bacterium
Lineage: Bacteria
Description: partial 16S ribosomal RNA
Rfam family: Bacterial small subunit ribosomal RNA
Source: RNAcentral
AGUGAACGCUGGCGGUAGGCCUAACACAUGCGAGUCGAACGGCAGCACAGUAAGAGCUUGCUCUUACGGGUGGCGAGUGGCGGACGGGUGAGGAAUACAUCGGAAUCUACUUUUUCGUGGGGGAUAACGUAGGGAAACUUACGCUAAUACCGCAUACGACCUACGGGUGAAAGCAGGGGAACUUCGGACCUUGCGCGAUUGAAUGAGCCGAUGUCGGAUUAGCUAGUUGGCGGGGUAAAGGCCCACCAAGGCGACGAUCCGUAGCUGGCCUGAGAGGAUGAUCAGCCACACUGGGACUGAGACACGGUCCAGACUCCUACAGGAGGCAGCAGUGGGGAAUAAUGGACAAUGGGGGCGAGCCUGAUCCAGCCAUACCGCGUAGGUGAAGAAGGCCUUCGGGUUGUAAAGGCCAUUUGUUGGGAAAGAAGAACAGCAGGUUAAUAUCCCGCUGUUCUGACGGUACCCGAAGAAGAAGCACCGGCUAACUUCGUG